Molecule: long non-coding RNA, 467 nt
Filed under: Phascolarctos cinereus (koala)
Lineage: Eukaryota; Metazoa; Chordata; Mammalia; Diprotodontia; Phascolarctidae
Description: lncRNA (ENSPCIG00000033436.1)
Source: RNAcentral
UGCUUUAAGGUUUGCAUAGAACUUCACGUACAUAAUGUCAUUUUCUCCUCCCUAGAGAACAUGAGAUCCAAGAGAACAUUCACAGAAGAUCACGGGGAAGAAGAGAAAGUGGCGAGAGACAUUGGCCAGAUGGGAGCAUGAGAGAGGAUCCCAGAGCAGGGUUUUUACUGUUACUGCACCAAAGGUAGAUGUGAUCUGUAUACUCAGGGAGCUAGCUGGUCUGUCUGCAAAUAACAACAACAACUCUAAUGGAAGCCUGGAGUGAGAAAUUGUCCCCUUCAUACUCUUGUAGCCCUGGGGAUUUGCUGACUGACAAGCUGGGCUCAAACACCAUCCAGGCAAAAUAGAGAAAGAGGCUGUGCUUUGGAGAGGGCCAAACGGAUUCCUAAGCCAAGGACAGCAGCUUCUGAGGGAUGAGCUUCAGGUAUUAAUUUUUUGUUGUUCCUGGGAGAUACAAGCAGAGGCUC